Molecule: non-coding RNA, 75 nt
Organism: Trichonephila clavipes
Lineage: Eukaryota; Metazoa; Arthropoda; Arachnida; Araneae; Nephilidae
Source: the annotation of a GenBank genome assembly
GCCUCCAUGGCGCAAUCCGCUAGCGCUUUCGGCUGUUAAUUGAAAGGUUGGUGAUAUCGAGCCCUCCUGGGGGCG